This 442-nucleotide ribosomal RNA is filed under the name uncultured bacterium. Its description in RNAcentral is "partial 16S ribosomal RNA". It matches the Rfam family "Bacterial small subunit ribosomal RNA", at positions 338 to 795 of the family's 1533-position model. The record is from RNAcentral.
CCUACGGGAGGCUGCAGUGGGGAAUCUUCGGCAAUGGGCGCAAGCCUGACCCAGCAACGCCGCGUGAAGGAAGAAGGCCUUCGGGUCGUAAAAUUCUUUUAAGGGGGACGAACAAAUGACGGUACACCUUGAAUCAGCCACGGCUAACUAAGUGCCAGCAGCCGCGGUAAUACGUAGGUGGCAAGCGUUAUACGGAUUUAUUGGGUGUAAAGGGCGUGUAGGCGGGAGCGCAAGUCAGAUGUGAAAACUCAGGGCUCAACCCUGAGCGUGCAUUUGAAACUGUGUUUCUUGAGUGCUGGAGAGGCAAUCGGAAUUCCGUGUGUAGCGGUGAAAUGCGUAGAUAUACGGAGGAACACCAGUGGCGAAGGCGGAUUGCUGGACAGUAACUGACGCUGAGGCGCGAAAGCGUGGGGAGCAAACAGGAUUAGAUACCCUAGUAGUC